Molecule: ribosomal RNA, 1435 nt
Filed under: uncultured OM60 clade bacterium
Lineage: Bacteria; Pseudomonadati; Pseudomonadota; Gammaproteobacteria; Cellvibrionales; Halieaceae
Description: bacterial SSU rRNA
Rfam family: Bacterial small subunit ribosomal RNA
Source: RNAcentral
UAACACAUGCAAGUCGAGCGCGAAAAGCCUUCGGGCUGAGUAAAGCGGCGGACGGGUGAGUAACGCGUAGGAAUCUACCUGGCAGUGGGGGACAACUUGGGGAAACUCAAGCUAAUACCGCAUACGCCCUAAGGGGGAAAGCGGGGGACCUUCGGGCCUCGCGCUAUCGGAUGAGCCUGCGUAGGAUUAGCUAGUUGGUGGGGUAAAGGCCCACCAAGGCGACGAUCCUUAGCUGGUCUGAGAGGAUGAUCAGCCACACUGGAACUGAGACACGGUCCAGACUCCUACGGGAGGCAGCAGUGGGGAAUAUUGCGCAAUGGGCGAAAGCCUGACGCAGCCAUGCCGCGUGUGUGAAGAAGGCCUUAGGGUUGUAAAGCACUUUCAAUUGGGAAGAAAAGUUUGUCGUUCAUAGCGCCAAGCUCUGACAUUACCUUUAGAAGAAGCACCGGCUAACUCCGUGCCAGCAGCCGCGGUAAUACGGAGGGUGCGAGCGUUAAUCGGAAUUACUGGGCGUAAAGCGCGCGUAGGCGGUUUGUUAAGUCAGCUGUGAAAGCCCCGGGCUCAACCUGGGAACUGCAGUUGAUACUGGCCGACUAGAGUACGAGAGAGGGAGGUAGAAUUCCAUGUGUAGCGGUGAAAUGCGUAGAUAUAUGGAGGAAUACCAGUGGCGAAGGCGGCCUCCUGGCUCGAUACUGACGCUGAGGUGCGAAAGCGUGGGGAUCAAACAGGAUUAGAUACCCUGGUAGUCCACGCCGUAAACGAUGUCUACUAGCCGUUGGGAGACUUGAUUUCUUAGUGGCGCAGCUAACGCAAUAAGUAGACCGCCUGGGGAGUACGGCCGCAAGGUUAAAACUCAAAUGAAUUGACGGGGGCCCGCACAAGCGGUGGAGCAUGUGGUUUAAUUCGAUGCAACGCGAAGAACCUUACCAGGUCUUGACAUCCUGCGAAUUUUCUAGAGAUAGAUUAGUGCCUUCGGGAACGCAGUGACAGGUGCUGCAUGGCUGUCGUCAGCUCGUGUCGUGAGAUGUUGGGUUAAGUCCCGUAACGAGCGCAACCCUUGUCCUUAGUUGCCAGCACAUAAUGGUGGGAACUCUAAGGAGACUGCCGGUGACAAACCGGAGGAAGGUGGGGACGACGUCAAGUCAUCAUGGCCCUUACGACCUGGGCUACACACGUGCUACAAUGGAACGCACAGAGGGCUGCAAAGGCGCGAGCUGGAGCGAAUCCCACAAAACGUUUCGUAGUCCGGAUUGGAGUCUGCAACUCGACUCCAUGAAGUCGGAAUCGCUAGUAAUCGUGAAUCAGAAUGUCACGGUGAAUACGUUCCCGGGCCUUGUACACACCGCCCGUCACACCAUGGGAGUGGGUUGCAAAAGAAGUGGGUAGACUAACCUUCGGGAGGUCGCUCACCACUUUGUGAUUCAUGACUGGGGUG